CAACUGCUGAGUGAAAUCACUGAGUUAGCCCCAGCAUGGGAUAAAACUAUACUGAAGAGUUAAAAGUUUUAAGGUUCUGAAUGCUCAUUUUGUUGACAUCUCCUGCUCCAGUUGUGGCUCCUUCAAAGGCUUUGUCAGCUGGGGCUGACAUUAGCAGACUCAUUCUCCCUUUGAUGUCAACCGCUCAAUAGAGAGGAGUUGUGGAGAGCUGCUGGAAGCAGAAACUGACAUUGCUUCAUGGACACCUGCCCAACCAACUCUCUCUGUGCCUUGAAUGAAGAUGUAUCUAUCACAGAUAAGUAGGAACACCACAUUUCAGCAGGGGAUCUUGACUCUUUUCUCCUUUUCAGCAUGAUUUUCUGGCAUUCACGCACCUUUCAAACUUAAAAUGAUGAAUUCUGUCCCUAAUUUCUCUACCUCAGAAGAGAGUUGCAAGGCUUAAAUUGUUAGCAUUUGCAAGGCAUUUUAGAUCUUCAAAUGGAAGGCAUUAUAAAAUUACAAAGCACUGUUGCACCUUCCAGACUCCUCACUCUGGAAAUCCUUACUUCCCACUCAGAUUGUCCAACCUGUAUCCUACAACUGUAUGUCUCAAGAAGAUCAACCUUUUUCCAAUGCUGGCUUCAGUUCUAUUCCCUGAAGAAUGAGCUUUCGAGACCUGCCAGACAUCUUAUAUGCACUAGGACCAAGCUGUCACUGGAAUAUCUAGCUGCAGUAGGGUAUUACUUGAAUAGGAUGCCAUUCCAUCGCAAAUGCUGGGCUUCAAUGUGCUAUGAAGGGGAGCUGGCAAGCUUCAGUUUCAAACUAUUGCUUGAUAUUUGUCAUCUGGUGCUCAAGCUUUUUAAUUUGUUUACAUUAUUUACACCAUGUUUCUAAAAGUUCCUUCCCCCCUCCCAUUGAAAACACUACAGAUACAUUUUGUUUUGAAAGGUGCCUUAGUUUACAUCAUUAUACUCUAUUCAAAGUUGGCUAGUCACAGAGGGUAAGCCAUUACGUACACAGAUCCAUGCAGGAAAUGCCAGCUUUUGCCACAUGGAUUGAGGAGACUUGAUGAGAUGGUGCCUGGGGAAAGCAACAAAGGAUCCUGCACUUUAGGUGGAGUUUGAGCACUUCCAUGGUCCGCUUUAUUGUAAAAUAUAAAAGACCUACUCCUUUAAGGACCAAACAUGGAUACUAUGCAUCAGGGCUUUCUUCAGCAAAAGUUCAGGGUCUUGAGAAGGUCUGACUUGUUUCAGCCAAGUCUGAAGGUCCCAGAUGUGAUAAAGUUGAAGGAGGAGUGAGAGGAAAAAUCCAGCUCCUAUCCUCUUCAAAGAGGUCCUUCUACACUCAGGCCUCAAGCUGUCCACAGCACAUACCUGGAAGAAUGAACUGGGCGGAAUUAAUUCCUUAGCCUGACACAGCUACUACCCUGAAAAUCCCUUUAUUUUAAGGCAGGCAACUAUGGGCCUUUCUUUGGUUGGAAACAUUUAACCUGUUUCCUGACAGCCACUGGAUAGGAUCUGUGCACCCCUCUAGACUUCUCUAGAAGUUGAUUUAAGGAAAGCAUUCACAAAGUCUAUAAAAAUGUGAACCCAAUUCCCCUUAAAAAGAAAACCCUGCACCACAGAAUUGCCUGCUCUUAAAAUUUUCAGGGCAAUUCGUUAUCCGUGAUCCUGGGUUAUGAAAAACUGACAUCUUGCUGUUGGCCCAGAGCUACAUAUAAGAUUUUUGUUGCAUUUAGUGUGUGUUUUCCCAAAGACAGGAAAAUGUAAAAUAAUACGAAUGGUCUGACCCUUUGGCCCUCCUGGAGGGAGUGGGGGGCUUUAAUAAAAUCUUGCAUACUGAUUGAAAUAAGAAUGAUUACAAUUUUAUAACGUGGAGUGCUUUUGAGGAUCUAUUUUUUAAAAUACUAUUGAAACCUGAAGCCAAAAUGAAGUUUCAUUUUUAAAAUCAUAUUUCAUAGGUGCAGUGCCAGGACCAUGACAUACAAUCCUUUGGUGAGGUCAGAACCAUAAAAUAUUGCCAUUGUUCUUUUUACUUAUUUUCAAAUUACAGAUUGUGUACACAGUAUAUCCUAUAUAUGUAUACAAUCCUAUACACAAGUUAUAUAGACACUUCAACCAUGAGUAAUUAGUUAACAAUACUAAGUAUUAAAAAUUUAUAAGGACCAAACACAAAUGAAACAAUUAAGGAAGCAACAACAUAAUACUGCCAUCUCAUGGCAAAAACAUAAGGUAGUAUUGUUCAGAUAUAACAAGGAAAAGAGUUAGUGUUUAAAACCUAAAUACUAAAUUUGAUUUACAAAAAGGUAAUAACUAAAAUACUUCUAUUAAGGGCUUGUGUACCUGAACAAUUAGUUCAUGACAAGCUGGGGUCUGAGUCUAUCUGGCACUAGCCUGGCAGGGUUUAACACUCAAUGCAGGUCAGCAGAGUAAACAUGAACAGUUCAUUAGAUUGUCUUGAUUCAGUCCUCUUUAAAAUGGAACUAGCUCAAAGCACUCUAAUGAACUGUUAGUGUACAUGUGGUAUGCAGUCUAGUUGUAGUUGUGAUGCUCAGAGUACCUUUCCCAGACCUGAAGAAGAGCUCUGUGAGGCUUGAAAGCUUGCCUCUCUCACCAACAGAAUCUGGUCUAAUAAAAGAUAUUAUCUCACCCACCUUGUCUCUGUUAGCACACAUGGACUGUUAGAUUGCUGGUCAGCAGGAUUUACAUGGAGAAUUAGACCCUGCCAGGCUAUUGCAAGGCAGGAUUCACCCCCAGACUUGCCAUGAAGUGAUUGUUCAUGCAGACAAGCCUUUAGAGUUAUAGAAAUAUUUGACACAGAAGGUAGAACUACCUGAAAUUAUGUUUGAUUUGAGUUUGAACUACAUCCACACAGAGGUCAGAUGAAGAACAGAGCCAUUAUCAUAACAUACCGACGGUUCAUUUAGACCAGUAUCCCAUCUCUGAUAGUGAUUGGUACCAAAUGCUUUAAAGGAAAGUGCAUAUAGUAGAAUAAACCACCCGUAGGGGACAAUUUGUUCUAAACUGUUAGAUGACGGUUUACUUACGCUGUGAAACGUGAGGGCUCAUAUCCUUGAAGAGGGGGGCGGGGGGAAGAGUCUCUCUCUCUCCUGUUGAAUGUAACUGGAUGUUCUCAGUAGCCAUACAAAUGUCUAAUCCUUUUUGAAUCUUAAUAAACAGUGUUUCAAUUAUA
This is a long non-coding RNA of Malaclemys terrapin pileata, 3171 nucleotides long. RefSeq lists it as uncharacterized. The transcript has 2 exons. Lineage: Eukaryota; Metazoa; Chordata; Testudines; Emydidae. The record is from RefSeq and is a predicted model, not a curated record.